UGACCUCCUAUCUGAAGCUAUAAGGCAGAUUUAAUGACGCAUAUUUGCACCUAGUCAAUACUUCUUCUUCUCCAUCGCUCCCUCAUUACUGAGGAUCGUGACUCCGUUUCAGCUUGUCGACUGCCAGCCUCCAUCGGUUCCGCGACCCGCCCUCGCUUCGCUUCGGAAACAUUAAAACACAAAUGAAACCAAAAAAAAAAUAUUUAAAAAAAGUAGCCUAUGUUCAUCAGGGACAAUGUCGGCUUCUAAUGGCAAAAGAAUUUUUCAAAUCGGUCCAGUAGUUUCGGAGCCUAUUCGAAACAAACAAACAAACAAAUCUUUCCUCUUUAUAAUAUUAUUAAAUGCAGCAGAAACUUCAAAUCUAAAACUAAAAGAAAACUAAAAGUAUCGGCGCGUGUUCAAUCUCGAACCUGAGACAUCCUAAGAUAAAAGCCACAAAAUACUGAGCCACAGACGCAAUUAUACCCAGAACACUCCAGACACUUAAUCAAGUUAACAGUGUUUAGUGCUUCAAGUUAUUGCAUUGGAAGUUAUUCCGGAAAGACCAGAAAUUAUAUACACUAAUGAAAAUUAUGUCAAAAAUGUGAAGGCUUCUGUGAGGAGACCAUCUAGAAACUCAAAAUACGUAUUGAACAUUGAUUUGGUAACUUUACAACAGUGGAACAAAAAUGUUACUUUUCACUUUAAUAUAUACGAGAACUUGCACAACGAGUACAAAAUUAGCUUCGUAAAUAUCCCAGAUAUGAAUUUCUGUGAGGUAAUAAAAUUUCAAUUAUUCCAAAAAACCUUAGAGAACACAAUGGUGAAGUGUCCUCUGCCUGCGGGACACAUUCAUGUACCAAAUCUAACUCUAGCAAUACCUGAUUUCCCAUACACGUGGCCAUUUGAGAAAUGCAAAGCUCGACUUACGGUUAAAGCACCUAAAGGUAUCAUUAUGGUCAUUGGUGACCUGUACCAUUCUUUGAAGCAAACUACCAAAAAGAAGCCAUAAUGUAAUACAUAGAAUCAAAUAUGUAUUACCAGCAAACCACUUACGUACCGAACAUUGAAAGUGCUUUAUAUCGCAAAACAAAUGUAUCUUGUUUGCACAUAAUACGAACUGGGACACUAAUUUCUUUUAUUUUUAUGUUUCAUUUUAAGUGCCCGUGGUCUCGAGCGAUGCGACCAGUUCGGGGCUUGUCAAUAGUUUUUUAAACAAACUACGCUCCUGUAAAGUGUAAUAAACCAACACCGCAACUUAUCAAUCCUUUAUUUAAACACCAUACAAAUAUCUAAAUUAAUGCACCAAAUUUAAUGUAACGUUGGAACAGUUUUAUGUGUUCCAGAAAACGCGAUAAAAGCAAGGACGCUUCAUGACAGGUGAUUAUUUGACGGUUGACGUUAAGCUCCAUUUUGGCGCAUUCAUUAUAUAUAAAUAAAUAAAAUAAAAAUAUAAAAA
Molecule: RNA transcript, 1438 nt
Organism: Bombyx mori (domestic silkworm)
Lineage: Eukaryota; Metazoa; Arthropoda; Insecta; Lepidoptera; Bombycidae
Exons: 6
Source: RefSeq, a predicted model, not a curated record